Molecule: ribosomal RNA, 685 nt
Filed under: Staphylococcus aureus
Lineage: Bacteria; Bacillati; Bacillota; Bacilli; Caryophanales; Staphylococcaceae
Description: partial 23S ribosomal RNA
Rfam family: Bacterial large subunit ribosomal RNA
Source: RNAcentral
GGUUCUCUCCGAAAUAGCUUUAGGGCUAGCCUCAAGUGAUGAUUAUUGGAGGUAGAGCACUGUUUGGACGAGGGGCCCCUCUCGGGUUACCGAAUUCAGACAAACUCCGAAUGCCAAUUAAUUUAACUUGGGAGUCAGAACAUGGGUGAUAAGGUCCGUGUUCGAAAGGGAAACAGCCCAGACCACCAGCUAAGGUCCCAAAAUAUAUGUUAAGUGGAAAAGGAUGUGGCGUUGCCCAGACAACUAGGAUGUUGGCUUAGAAGCAGCCAUCAUUUAAAGAGUGCGUAAUAGCUCACUAGUCGAGUGACACUGCGCCGAAAAUGUACCGGGGCUAAACAUAUUACCGAAGCUGUGGAUUGUCCUUUGGACAAUGGUAGGAGAGCGUUCUAAGGGCGUUGAAGCAUGAUCGUAAGGACAUGUGGAGCGCUUAGAAGUGAGAAUGCCGGUGUGAGUAGCGAAAGACGGGUGAGAAUCCCGUCCACCGAUUGACUAAGGUUUCCAGAGGAAGGCUCGUCCGCUCUGGGUUAGUCGGGUCCUAAGCUGAGGCCGACAGGCGUAGGCGAUGGAUAACAGGUUGAUAUUCCUGUACCACCUAUAAUCGUUUUAAUCGAUGGGGGGACGCAGUAGGAUAGGCGAAGCGUGCGAUUGGAUUGCACGUCUAAGCAGUAAGGCUGAGUAUUAGGCA